Long non-coding RNA from Lolium rigidum, 231 nucleotides. RefSeq lists it as uncharacterized. The record is from RefSeq and is a predicted model, not a curated record. The transcript is spliced from 2 exons. Lineage: Eukaryota; Viridiplantae; Streptophyta; Magnoliopsida; Poales; Poaceae.
CAGCGCUGGCGUGGCGCCGAUGACGACCACAAGCAUGAACAACGCCGAGGCCCUUCACCAAGGAUAUGGCGAUGGAGAGGAAGGGCCGAUACGAAAUCAGUGUUUAGAGUGGUGGAUCUGCAUUUGUGCGCAGCCAUGAGUUAGUUGUCUGAGUUUGGAAUUUUGAGAUAUUCUUGGAUCACGUGUAGCAACGUGAACUCUCGUCAUUCUAAUUCACGGAUUUCUGAAUUA